AGUUCUUCAAGCCAUCUGGAAUGAAAAGAAGACAAAGAGCUGAGGCCACAUGAACUCACAGGACACUCCAGGACCUCAAGAUGGACAGAGACUGAGUAGCCAGGAGUCCAGAAGAGCUGCUCUUGAAGUUCACUGACGGAGAUCCAACCUGCCGCUGAUGUUCCCACCCGGCCCCUUCCUUAGGUUUGUGGCACUGUCCAUCCAGUUACUGGUCUGUCUACAAAUGGUCUGCUGCACUGUCUGUCUGUCUCUUUGCCUCUCACUUAUAAAGACUGAGAUGGUGGUUAGGAUCCACUCAGCUAAUCUGUGAUGGUUUUUAAAUUUUAAAAUCAUUAAUUAUCGGAACAUUUUUAUGACAUAUGCAAAGAUGUUUUUCGCCAAGUGAGACUAUCUACAUAUUUGGUGUUCGUUAUUCAACCCAACAUUUCAAUUAUGAUGAGUUGAUCCUUACUUGGUAUUUUGCUCUGACACAAUCUCUACAAAAGUGAACUAAGGGGGAGAGUGUUUAUUUUGGCUCCAGUUUGGGGAUAUGGUCCAUGGUGGUAGGGAAGACAUCGCAGGACAUGCUGCCGGAACUCCUCACUGUCUCAUAUCUUGGAGGAACAGGAAGCAGAGAAUAGACAAGAAGAGGGACCUGGCUACAGAACGACACCUUUUAAAGGCCUGCACCCAGAGACCCACUUCCUCUAGUUAGGCUCCGCCUCCUGCCGGUUCUUCAACCUUCCAAAGCAGCACCAGCGCUCGGGGCCCAACAUGGACGUACAGGAGCUUAUGAGGAAUAUUUCAUAUCCUGGACCAUAAAACCAAGAUACGAUGUUCGUAAAGUCCAAAUCCACUGGGUGGGUGUCAGUGCAACCUGAAAUGGCUAAUACAGAAAAUGAAUCUAGAAUCUUCGGGAUACAGAUAUAUCAUCACCACUGUUGAGUACUGCCGUCACGAGCAGAGGGCUGUCCAGUCUCCAAGGCAACAGAUUCCUUCAGACUUAUCUGUCUCCUGCCCUCUAUUCAUUAUUCCCAUGUAACGUGGAAGUAGAGGUCUUUCCAGAAGUGUCUCGGGGGCAGGAGAGAUGAUGGUUCUGAAGUUAAAAGUGCUUGCUGCUCUCCCAGAGGACCCGGGUUUGAUUUUCUGCAUCCACAGGGCAGCUCACAAUUUCAGCUUCAGGGGAUCCAUUGCCCUCUUCUGGCCUCUAUGAGCAUCAGGCAUGUGGCACAUACUCGUCCAUGCAGGCGAAACAUCCACAUACAUAAUUUUUAAGUGUCUCUAUUUGUUAUAUCACCAUUGUGUCACAUCACCUGUCAAGAGAAAGAGUUCUAAAGUAGGUUGUGUCUAGCAGGAAUUGUAGGAUUUUAUCAUCAACCUCAAAUAUAAAAUAUACAUAUUGUACUUUGGAUGGGAAAUGUUCCACAUAGGCGUGUGUAUUUGAACAUUUAGUUUCCAGUUAGCGGUGCUGUUUGUGGGGAACACUUUAUGGAACACUUUAGGAGACCGAAUUUCUCUAGAAAAAGUCCAUCACUCACAGAAGGUGGCCUUUGAGAGUCUACAGCCUAUGCCUCAUCCUGUUCUCGCUAACUCUCCACAUCCUGUGUGUGAAUGAAAUGUGACUGCCCUGCUUGCUAACUUCAGAACCACACACUCAUGCCCAAUGCCCUUUCUCUGGACUGUAAGCCAAAAGAAACCCCUUUCUCCUCUAAGAUGCUUGAUAGUGGUGGUGGUGGUGGUGGUGGUGGUGGAGGUGGUGGUGGUGGUGGUGGUGGUGGAGGUGGUCUGUUUUAUUACAGAAACAACAAAGUAACUAAUACACCCAUAAUAAAUAAACACAUUCUAUAUUGUAUGUUUUCAGCUGAGCAUUUAUUGACAUUUAUUCAAAGAAUAAAGAAUUUAAUUUAUAAGACU
This 1893-nucleotide long non-coding RNA is filed under the name Mus musculus (house mouse). RNAcentral describes it as "predicted gene, 47715". Lineage: Eukaryota; Metazoa; Chordata; Mammalia; Rodentia; Muridae. The record is from RNAcentral.